RNAcentral lists this long non-coding RNA (433 nucleotides) under Bos taurus (domestic cattle). Its description in RNAcentral is "long non-coding RNA NONBTAT022182". Lineage: Eukaryota; Metazoa; Chordata; Mammalia; Artiodactyla; Bovidae. The record is from RNAcentral.
AGAGUACUUGGACCCAGAUUGACACUUUCUCGGUUAUUUGUCCAUGGCAUGUAGAUCAGUCAUUCAUCACCGUUUUGUCAGCGCUGGAUCCUACUUCCUCAAUUGGAAGAAAUAAAGGCUUUUAAAGCUUUCUGGUCACUGAUAGCUGCCCUGGGCAGCUCAGCUCUGCAUAUUUUGCAGGGCUUAGGUCAGAACAACCAACUCCUUCUUCAUUUCCUGCCUCUUCUCUUCCUCCCCCAACCAGCUCUCAGAAUGGGCAAGGGAUGAGGCGUUUUGGCAGGCAGAGGGGACCAAGAGAAAUGUCUCGUUUCAGCCUCAGAUGAGCCACAGCAGUUGGCAAACAAGGCUGUGUAUUCACUCACCAUUGUAGUGGCCACCAGUUGGGCUCGAAAGUGAAUCCUGAGAAGGGAAUCUAGACCUCUGGUGAAACUGG